UACGAAGGGGGCUAGCGUUGCUCGGAAUCACUGGGCGUAAAGCGCACGUAGGCGGGCUCUUAAGUCGGUGGUGAAAUCCUGGAGCUCAACUCCAGAACUGCCUCCGAUACUGAGAGUCUUCGAGUCCGGAAGAGGUGAGUGGAAUUCCGAGUGUAGAGGUGAAAUUCGUAGAUAUUCGGAGGAACACCAGUGGCGAAGGCGGCUCACUGGUCCGGUACUGACGCUGAGGUGCGAAAGCGUGGGGAGCAAACAGG
This 254-nucleotide ribosomal RNA is filed under the name uncultured bacterium. RNAcentral describes it as "partial 16S ribosomal RNA". It matches the Rfam family "Bacterial small subunit ribosomal RNA", at positions 524 to 776 of the family's 1533-position model. The record is from RNAcentral.